GGUCAUUUAGGGUGCCAUUUGGGAUUUAGCCAGAAGGAUAUAAUAAUGUGUAUUACAUUCAUUUAAAUAAAUUUAACUAAAGACAACAGGUCUCUCCCUAGACUAGUUACUGGUUACAGACAACAGGUCUCUCCCUAGACUAGUUACUGGUUACAGACAACAUGUCUCUCCCUAGACUAGUUACUGGUUACAGACAACAGGUCUCUCCCUAGACUAGUUAUAGGUUACAGACAACAGGUCUCUCCCUAGACUAGUUAUAGGUUACAGACAACAGGUCUCUCCCUAGACUAGUUACUGGUUACAGACAACAGGUCUCUCCCUAGACUAGUUACUGGUUACAGACAACAGGUCUCUCCCUAGACUAGUUACUGGUUACAGACAACAGGUCUCUCCCUAGACUAGUUACUGGUUACAGACAACAGACUGCAACGCAGGGCUUGGUCAAGAGAAGUGUUGUGUAGGAUGCCGUUUGAGGUGUGGCACUAUGGAAAGCAGCGUCUGGGAGGUCAAGGGUCAAAGACCACCCAGGCAGAGGUCAAGGGUGGGUGACCUCACUCUCUUUAACAGU
Oncorhynchus tshawytscha (Chinook salmon) is the source of this 568-nucleotide long non-coding RNA. NCBI's taxonomy places the organism in Eukaryota, Metazoa, Chordata, Actinopteri, Salmoniformes, Salmonidae. The record is from Ensembl.